UACAGAGGUCUCAAGCGUUGUUCGGAUUCAUUGGGCGUAAAGGGUGUGUAGGUGGCGCGCUAAGUCGGGUGUGAAAUUUCGGAGCUUAACUCCGAAACUGGCAUUCGAUACUGGCGUGGCUUGAGGACUGGAGAGGAGACUGGAAUUCAUGGUGUAGCAGUGAAAUGCGUAGAGAUCAUGAGGAAGACCAGUGGCGAAGGCGGGUCUCUGGGCCGAUACUGACGUGAGGAGCGAAAGCGUGGGGGAGCGAACAGG
RNAcentral lists this ribosomal RNA (255 nucleotides) under uncultured bacterium. RNAcentral's name for it is "partial 16S ribosomal RNA". It matches the Rfam family "Bacterial small subunit ribosomal RNA", at positions 524 to 776 of the family's 1533-position model. The record is from RNAcentral.